GGGCAAAACAGAAUUUCCAAAAUUACUUUUGAUUUUGUAUAACAACUUGAAAAACUCCCAACAUGAAAGUUGUUCAACUUUUUGUGCUCUACAACUUUCAUGUUGACCAUUUUUCAAAAUUCCAAAUGGAUUUUGAAUUGGGGGUUUAAGUUGGAAAAGGGGACACUUUCUGGAAAUCUGUAUUUUCAAAAUUACUUUGAAUUUUGUAUUGAAACUUCAAAAACUCAAAACACCAAAGUUGUACAUCUUGCCAGGAUCUACAACUUUGCUUUUGAACUCAACCUCAAAUUUUGCUUAGUUUUUGAAUUACACAAAAGGGGGCAGUUCUAGGGUUCAAAAAUCAGGGUUUUCCCCCCUUAGCUCUUCGGAAAUCUUUCACCCUAGGGUUUUAGCAUCCAACACAAGCAUCCAAACACAAUGUAAGCACACUUUAAUUCCCUAAGCACAAGCACUCAAAGUAAACUUAUUUUAAAUUGAUGCAUACUAAUGUGCUUUAACAAUUAUGAUUUGCAAUGCUCAUGAUGACAUGAUCCGUUUUUAGUAACCGUAACAUCAGGGAUGUUACAGCCCUUCCCCCUUAAAGAAAUCUCGUCCCCGAGAUUUAAAACCUUAGGGUAAGUAAUGGAAAAGGAAAUUUGUCAAAACUCUUUCAUCUUCAACUUUUCCAUAAGGCAAGGAGUUGGGGAAAAAAAAAAGAAAAAAAAAACUUCAUUAUAUGCAUAUAUGUACAUUAAGUACAUGGCUUUGGUGACUCUUUUUCCUUACUGGAGUACAUUCUCGGGUUAUCAUAUAUUGUCCUGAAGAGAAGCAUGGAAUUCAGGAAAAUUCUCUAGCAAGUAAUCUUCAGAUUCCCAGGUGGCUUCCUCCUCAGAGUGUUGGCUCCAUUGUACUUUAUACCAUUUAGUGGUUGUCCUUCGAGUAACUCUAGCUUUUUGAUCCAGUACUCGGAUAGGAUAUUCCGAAUAAGUUAGAUCUGGUUCAAGCUUUACAUCUUCGAUAUCUUGAACUCGAUCCGGUACCCGAAGACACUUUUUCAGUUGAGACACAUGGAACACAUUAUGUACCCCGG
This 1069-nucleotide long non-coding RNA is filed under the name Sorghum bicolor (sorghum). RNAcentral describes it as "long non-coding RNA (SBIC_LNC011761)". Lineage: Eukaryota; Viridiplantae; Streptophyta; Magnoliopsida; Poales; Poaceae. The record is from RNAcentral.